UAGAUUUAGAGGAUCUAAGGACUGUGCUGGGAGGAUAUAACACAGAGGAGGUUCUUCUCAUUAACUGCAAUUAAAGGCUGGUGUGGAGUUUUGUAACAAAAGGAUUCCUGUGUGCACUGGAAUAUAUCAGCCGAAAAUGAGGAACUGUUGAGCACCGUCAGGUAAUUUUGGAUCCGUACUGUGCGUGGAUGCCUCCGACCCUCGCUGGAUGAUUCCAUCUCUGUGAUGAAAGGCUUAUCCAGCAGCCGCAGCCACCACCACGUGGUGACCUGUGACCC
Molecule: long non-coding RNA, 278 nt
Organism: Puntigrus tetrazona (Sumatra barb)
Lineage: Eukaryota; Metazoa; Chordata; Actinopteri; Cypriniformes; Cyprinidae
Exons: 3
Source: RefSeq, a predicted model, not a curated record